Molecule: ribosomal RNA, 387 nt
Filed under: uncultured bacterium
Lineage: Bacteria
Description: bacterial SSU rRNA
Rfam family: Bacterial small subunit ribosomal RNA
Source: RNAcentral
GACGAGCGCUGGCGGCGUGCUUAACACAUGCAAGUCGAGCGGUAAGGCCCUUUCGGGGGUACACGAGCGGCGAACGGGUGAGUAACACGUGGGUGACCUGCCCUCAGCUCUGGGAUAAGCCUGGGAAACCGGGUCUAAUACCGGAUAUGACUCCAUGACGCAUGUUGUGGGGUGGAAAGCCUUGUGCGGCUGAGGAUGGGCCCGCGGCCUAUCAGCUUGUUGGUGGGGGAUGGCCUACCAAGGCGACGACGGGUAGCCGGCCUGAGAGGGCGACCGGCCACACUGGGACUGAGACACGGCCCAGACUCCUACGGGAGGCAGCAGUGGGGAAUCUUGGGCAAUGGGCGAAAGCCUGACCCAGCGACGCCGCGUGAGGGAUGAAGGCCU